GGUUAAGCGACUAAGCGUACACGGUGGAUGCCCUGGCAGUCAGAGGCGAUGAAGGACGUGCUAAUCUGCGAUAAGCGUCGGUAAGGUGAUAUGAACCGUUAUAACCGGCGAUUUCCGAAUGGGGAAACCCAGUGUGAUUCGUCACACUAUCAUUAACUGAAUCCAUAGGUUAAUGAGGCGAACCGGGGAACUGAAACAUCUAAGUACCCCGAGGAAAAGAAAUCAACCGAGAUUCCCCAGUAGCGGCGAGCGAACGGGGAGCAGCCCAGAGCCUGAAUCAGUGUGUGUGUUAGUGGAAGCGUCUGGAAAGGCGCGCGAUACAGGGUGACAGCCCCGUACACAAAAAUGCACAUACUGUGAGCUCGAUGAGUAGGGCGGGACACGUGGUAUCCUGUCUGAAUAUGGGGGACCAUCCUCCAAGGCUAAAUACUCCUGACUGACCGAUAGUGAACCAGUACCGUGAGGGAAAGGCGAAAAGAACCCCGGCGAGGGAGUGAAAAAGAACCUGAAACCGUGUACGUACAAGCAGUGGGAGCACAGAGCAAUCUGUGUGACUGCGUACCUUUUGUAUAAUGGGUCAGCGACUUAUAUUCUGUAGCAAGGUUAACCGAAUAGGGGAGCCGAAGGGAAACCGAGUCUUAACUGGGCGUUAAGUUGCAGGGUAUAGACCCGAAACCCGGUGAUCUAGCCAUGGGCAGGUUGAAGGUUGGGUAACACUAACUGGAGGACCGAACCGACUAAUGUUGAAAAAUUAGCGGAUGACUUGUGGCUGGGGGUGAAAGGCCAAUCAAACCGGGAGAUAGCUGGUUCUCCCCGAAAGCUAUUUAGGUAGCGCCUCGUGAAUUCAUCUCCGGGGUAGAGCACUGUUUCGGCAAGGGGUCAUCCCGACUUACCAACCCGAUGCAAACUGCGAAUACCGGAGAAUGUUAUCACGGGAGACACACGGCGGGUGCUAACGUCCGUCGUGAAGAGGGAAACAACCCAGACCGCCAGCUAAGGUCCCAAAGUCAUGGUUAAGUGGGAAACGAUGUGGGAAGGCCCAGACAGCCAGGAUGUUGGCUUAGAAGCAGCCAUCAUUUAAAGAAAGCGUAAUAGCUCACUGGUCGAGUCGGCCUGCGCGGAAGAUGUAACGGGGCUAAACCAUGCACCGAAGCUGCGGCAGCGACGCUGAUGCGUUGUUGGGUAGGGGAGCGUUCUGUAAGCCUGUGAAGGUGUGCUGUGAGGCAUGCUGGAGGUAUCAGAAGUGCGAAUGCUGACAUAAGUAACGAUAAAGCGGGUGAAAAGCCCGCUCGCCGGAAGACCAAGGGUUCCUGUCCAACGUUAAUCGGGGCAGGGUGAGUCGACCCUAAGGCGAGGCCGAAAGGCGUAGUCGAUGGGAAACAGGUUAAUAUUCCUGUACUUGGUGUUACUGCGAAGGGGGACGGAGAAGGCUAUGUUGGCCGGGCGACGGUUGUCCCGGUUUAAGCGUGUAGGCUGGUUUUCCAGGCAAAUCCGGAAAAUCAAGGCUGAGGCGUGAUGACGAGGCACUACGGUGCUGAAGCAACAAAUGCCCUGCUUCCAGGAAAAGCCUCUAAGCAUCAGGUAACAUCAAAUCGUACCCCAAACCGACACAGGUGGUCAGGUAGAGAAUACCAAGGCGCUUGAGAGAACUCGGGUGAAGGAACUAGGCAAAAUGGUGCCGUAACUUCGGGAGAAGGCACGCUGAUAUGUAGGUGAAGUCCCUCGCGGAUGGAGCUGAAAUCAGUCGAAGAUACCAGCUGGCUGCAACUGUUUAUUAAAAACACAGCACUGUGCAAACACGAAAGUGGACGUAUACGGUGUGACGCCUGCCCGGUGCCGGAAGGUUAAUUGAUGGGGUCAGCGCAAGCGAAGCUCUUGAUCGAAGCCCCGGUAAACGGCGGCCGUAACUAUAACGGUCCUAAGGUAGCGAAAUUCCUUGUCGGGUAAGUUCCGACCUGCACGAAUGGCGUAAUGAUGGCCAGGCUGUCUCCACCCGAGACUCAGUGAAAUUGAACUCGCUGUGAAGAUGCAGUGUACCCGCGGCAAGACGGAAAGACCCCGUGAACCUUUACUAUAGCUUGACACUGAACAUUGAGCCUUGAUGUGUAGGAUAGGUGGGAGGCUUUGAAGUGUGGACGCCAGUCUGCAUGGAGCCGACCUUGAAAUACCACCCUUUAAUGUUUGAUGUUCUAACGUUGACCCGUAAUCCGGGUUGCGGACAGUGUCUGGUGGGUAGUUUGACUGGGGCGGUCUCCUCCUAAAGAGUAACGGAGGAGCACGAAGGUUGGCUAAUCCUGGUCGGACAUCAGGAGGUUAGUGCAAUGGCAUAAGCCAGCUUGACUGCGAGCGUGACGGCGCGAGCAGGUGCGAAAGCAGGUCAUAGUGAUCCGGUGGUUCUGAAUGGAAGGGCCAUCGCUCAACGGAUAAAAGGUACUCCGGGGAUAACAGGCUGAUACCGCCCAAGAGUUCAUAUCGACGGCGGUGUUUGGCACCUCGAUGUCGGCUCAUCACAUCCUGGGGCUGAAGUAGGUCCCAAGGGUAUGGCUGUUCGCCAUUUAAAGUGGUACGCGAGCUGGGUUUAGAACGUCGUGAGACAGUUCGGUCCCUAUCUGCCGUGGGCGCUGGAGAACUGAGGGGGCUGCUCCUAGUACGAGAGGACCGGAGUGGACGCAUCACUGGUGUUCGGGUUGUCAUGCCAAUGGCACUGCCCGGUAGCUAAAUGCGGAAGAGAUAAGUGCUGAAAGCAUCUAAGCACGAAACUUGCCCCGAGAUGAGUUCUCCCUGACCCUUUAAGGGUCCUGAAGGAACGUUGAAGACGACGACGUUGAUAGGCCGGGUGUGUAAGCGCAGCGAUGCGUUGAGCUAACCGGUACUAAUGAACCGUGAGGCUUAACCUU
Molecule: ribosomal RNA, 2897 nt
Filed under: Escherichia coli
Lineage: Bacteria; Pseudomonadati; Pseudomonadota; Gammaproteobacteria; Enterobacterales; Enterobacteriaceae
Description: 23S ribosomal RNA
Rfam family: Bacterial large subunit ribosomal RNA
Source: RNAcentral